ACACUGAUCCUGCCAGAAAAUUUCAAAGACAGUAGAUUGAAAAGGAAAGGCUUGGUAAAAAAGGUUCAGGAUCAAAGAAGACAGGCAUGAGGCUACCUUCUCAGGAGCUGUAGUGUACCAUUCAGGGACCUGGCACAGUCCAUCCAGACAUCCUGCUGAGCGUCGCCCACAUAUGCAGUCUCGGACCUAUGUCCUACCUGUUCAUGCAGUUGUCCAUAUCCAGUGGGAUGUCCUAGGGGCUCAACUGUCCACAAACAUCACUGCCCCCCACAGAACUGGUACAGACCCCCAAACCACCCAUCUCAGCCCAUGAAACCACUGGCCACCCAAGCCCACAAAUCAGAAACCAGUAUGCUGCCUCCUUCCCCUCAGCCUUUACAUACAGUCACAUACCAAGCCUGUCAAUUCCACUCCCAAUGUACCUCCUAACCAUGAGUCUUUGAUUAGCAUGAUCUUUCUCUAAGCUAGGACAACAUCCUGAUGUUCCUUAUAUUUCCUCAAAUACAAACUUUCACAUCUAUCCAGA
This 526-nucleotide long non-coding RNA is filed under the name Homo sapiens (human). RNAcentral's name for it is "non-protein coding lnc-BAG1-1:2". The record is from RNAcentral. Lineage: Eukaryota; Metazoa; Chordata; Mammalia; Primates; Hominidae.